RNAcentral lists this ribosomal RNA (468 nucleotides) under uncultured bacterium. RNAcentral's name for it is "partial 16S ribosomal RNA". It matches the Rfam family "Bacterial small subunit ribosomal RNA", at positions 28 to 507 of the family's 1533-position model. The record is from RNAcentral.
GACGAACGCUGGCGGCGUGCUUAACACAUGCAAGUCGAACGGAAAGGCCCUGCUUUUGUGGGGUGCUCGAGUGGCGAACGGGUGAGUAACACGUGAGUAACCUGCCCUUGACUUUGGGAUAACUUCAGGAAACUGGGGCUAAUACCGGAUAGGAGCUCCUGCUGCAUGGUGGGGGUUGGAAAGUUUCGGCGGUUGGGGCUGGACUCGCGGCUUAUCAGCUUGUUGGUGGGGUAGUGGCUUACCAAGGCUUUGACGGGUAGCCGGCCUGAGAGGGUGACCGGCCACAGUGGGACUGAGAUACGGCCCAGACUCCUACGGGAGGCAGCAGUGGGGAAUAUUGCAAAAUGGGCGGAAGCCUGAUGCAGCAACGCCGCGUGCGGGAUGACGGCCUUCGGGUUGUAAACCGCUUUCGCCUGUGACGAAGCGUGAGUGACGGUAAUGGGUAAAGAAGCACCGGCUAACUACGUG